Molecule: ribosomal RNA, 440 nt
Filed under: Bacillus sp. B-2-19
Lineage: Bacteria; Bacillati; Bacillota; Bacilli; Caryophanales; Bacillaceae
Description: bacterial SSU rRNA
Rfam family: Bacterial small subunit ribosomal RNA
Source: RNAcentral
ACGGCUCACCAAGGCAACGAUGCGUAGCCGACCUGAGAGGGUGAUCGGCCACACUGGGACUGAGACACGGCCCAGACUCCUACGGGAGGCAGCAGUAGGGAAUCUUCCGCAAUGGACGAAAGUCUGACGGAGCAACGCCGCGUGAGUGAUGAAGGCUUUCGGGUCGUAAAACUCUGUUGUUAGGGAAGAACAAGUGCUAGUUGAAUAAGCUGGCACCUUGACGGUACCUAACCAGAAAGCCACGGCUAACUACGUGCCAGCAGCCGCGGUAAUACGUAGGUGGCAAGCGUUAUCCGGAAUUAUUGGGCGUAAAGCGCGCGCAGGUGGUUUCUUAAGUCUGAUGUGAAAGCCCACGGCUCAACCGUGGAGGGUCAUUGGAAACUGGGAGACUUGAGUGCAGAAGAGGAAAGUGGAAUUCCAUGUGUAGCGGUGAAAUGCGU